AUUGAACGCUGGCGGCAUGCUUUACACAUGCAAGUCGAACGGCAGCGGGGAGGAGCUUGCUUCUCUGCCGGCGAGUGGCGAACGGGUGAGUAAUACAUCGGAACGUGUCGAGAAGAGGGGGAUAACCACCCGAAAGGGUGGCUAAUACCGCAUAAAGUCUGAGGAAGAAAGCUGGGGGACUAGGAAUAGGCCUAGCGCUUUUGGAGCGGCCGAUGUCGGAUUAGCUAGUUGGUGAGGUAAAGGCUCACCAAGGCGAAGAUCUGUAGCGGGUCUGAGAGGAUGAUCCGUCACACUGGAACUGAGACACGGCCCAGACUCCUACGGGAGGCAGCAGUGGGGAAUUUUGGACAAAGGGGGCAACCCUGAUCCAGCCAUGCCGCGUGUAUGAAGAAGGCCUUAGGGUUGUAAAGUACUUUUGUUAGGGAAGAAAAGUCAGCUGUGAAUAAUGGCUGAUACUGACGGUACCUAAAGAAUAAGCACCGGCUAACUACGUG
This 494-nucleotide ribosomal RNA is filed under the name uncultured bacterium. Its description in RNAcentral is "partial 16S ribosomal RNA". It matches the Rfam family "Bacterial small subunit ribosomal RNA", at positions 30 to 507 of the family's 1533-position model. The record is from RNAcentral.